Monodelphis domestica (gray short-tailed opossum) is the source of this 3543-nucleotide long non-coding RNA. RefSeq lists it as uncharacterized. The record is from RefSeq and is a predicted model, not a curated record. Lineage: Eukaryota; Metazoa; Chordata; Mammalia; Didelphimorphia; Didelphidae.
UACUCGGCGUGGUAGGGGGUGGAGCGAGUUGUCAGGAGCUUUUUCUCCCAGAGCAGCCGUGGAGGCUCCUGGGUAAGGAGAGGACACGUGGAGGCUGCUGGAGCUCGGGGAGUGGAGUGGGGUGGCUGGGCACGCACGCCUUGCUGGGCAGUGGGCCUGCGGUGGAGGGAACCCACUAUGCCAUCUAAGUCAUGGAGCAAUUUUGAUGUUCAUUGGUAAGAGGAAUACUGACACAAAUCACAGACCCUGAAAUACUGAAAAACUGAACUGUUUGGAGAAGACACCAUGAAGAUGCCUCCACAAACCACAAGCUGCACGAGAAAGAUCAAGAAUGAACUUUGGGUGUGGGGUUUGAAUGCAUUUGUUUUGUAUGUAUACUCUUAUGCUGAAGGGGACUUCCCCUUAACUGGCUUUUUGUCAAUGUGCCUAGUAGACAUUGUAUUUUUUUCUUUUUUCCUCUUUUCCUCAAAUUAUUGUAAUCUUUAGGUUGAUUAUGUUUCCAUGAUCCUUUUGGGGAAACUGGUUUCCAAAUACGAUCUCUGGGGGGGGUGUAAAAUGGAGAUUUUGAACCCUGGACUUCAAUCACCAGAAGUCCUUGGUACUUCCAAGAAUUCCCUAUAAUAUCACCUGAGUCCCCAUCUGUUCGAGAACACAAUUUGUAAAUACUGGCUGUAACACCUACUUCGGCCUCUCUCUCUUCCUGUACUCGGAGAUUGCAAGAUGUAGUGAGUAUGCUAAGCGUGGGGAUUCUGAAUUGGCUAAUCAGUCAUGGGCACGUGGUUUUCUACUUUGUAUUCUUAAUUCUAAUAAUCCUUAAUAAACCUCACAAAAUAUAAUAUUUUUAUUAUUAGAAACUAAAUUUAAUUUUUACAGACCAGAGAAGGAGGUGAUCUAUUAAUUUGGAAAGAGAAGGGGAUUAUAUGUAGAAGCUGUAUAAUACAUUGAUAUCCUGGUAAUGGAAGGAUAUCUGGAAGAAGGAUCUUACCACAUUUAAUGAACUCUCAUGAGCUAAAGACUCAGGAGAUAUAGUGUGGAUGGACUAUGAUCUGUCUUGUUGAAGGAAGGAUUGUCAGCAGUCUUCAUGCCCAAGUGACUUUUAAUAAGGCUAACUAUGGAGGACAAUGUGAAACUAUCCAAUUAAUUUUUUUCUACAGAUUAUCUUUUGUAUUCUCAUUUCUAAUACCCUGGUUCAAGUCAUUAUCUCAUACCUAUAUUACCACUAUACUUGUCUUCAUUGAUCUCUUUGCUCAAAACUUUUCUUCCUCUACUCAUCCUACAUCAUUCCACCAGAUAAAACACCACCUUCAUCAUUAGUGUAAUCAUUGCUUACAUCAUUCCUCUGUGACAAUUAAAAGAGUAGUUGGCAUAAACUGUGACCACGGAAAUAUGGUUUCAAGACAUUGUCUUGAGUUAAAUCAAAUAUAAAGUGGUCGCCAGGGAAAAAUUACCAAAUAUGAAAUAUACCCAAGUCAGCUGGGUUUUUAUGGAGAUUUUAAUUAAUACAAAUUAAGGAAUUAAUGAAAGGGAGAGAGAGAGAGUAAGGGGAAAUAAUGAGAAAAGGGGUAGCCAGCCCAGGCCAGCCUUGGCCCAAGCCUUAAGAGAGAUCAGUCAGUCUUUAAUCCACUCACCACAAGAUUUGUCCCAAGCAAGAUUCUAGUGUUCAGAGAGACCCAGCUACCCCAACUAGUCCGAGCUCCAAUUCAGCUUUGGCAAACUGCAUUUUCCUCCGACCCCACAAGCCUUUCAAGGCAGCUCUGGCAAGCUGCCUCUCUCCAAUUCAGCUUUGGCAAGCUGAAUCUCCAGAGACCUCUUUUGAGCUCCUUUUAAAGAGAAUUUUUUCCUAUGUCACCUCCCCUAAGUUCUCACAUCUACCAAUCACAGUAGACUUUUUCCAAAGGACUGACCAUUCUUAAUUCACACCUUCUUUAGUUCUCAACUUCUCAGACUAAAACUUCUGAGUGAGUUCACACCUCUUUGCCCCUUGCAAGUCUGCAAGUUGCCUGACCUUCAUAGGUACUUAGCACCUUUUUGUAUUAGAUCUAAAAAUAGACUUAGCUUAAGUGCUUGGCCUCACUAUAAGUAUGGGUUAAGUACUUUUUCAUUGUUCAGUAAAGAGUUUACAACUUUAUCUUCCCCUAAAGUAUGCUUAAGUAUGGGUGGAGUAGAGUUCUCACAUUCCUGACUAAAUCCCUUCAUUGUUUAAAAUGGGGAAUGGUCUUAACCAAGUGUUCUGAAGUAGGGUCUGAGAAUUUUUAAGAUUCACACCUCUGAAUAUCAACAGCUCCUUUGCUGACAUUCAGGGCACUCCAGAUCUUGUAUGGACCCACCUUUCCACUCUGUUUUCUACUCUUCCUCCUCAAGCAUUCUAUUCCAGCCACACUAAUUAAACCCCAUGUGUUUCUUUCCUUUUAUACCUCUGGAGCCAAUGUGUUUCUUUCCUUUUAUACCUCUGAGUAAUUGUGUACUUCCCUUCCUCUCCACAUAGUCAAACCCAAUCUAUCCCUCAAAAUAUGAUCAUCUGAAAUACCUCUUCUUCUAUGAAGAUAUCUACCCAACCACUCCAAUCACUCUCACAAGUGAGAUAAUUUGAAUGACUGCUAUGCCAUUUAAUCGCAUAACACAUUGUGAUAUUUCUUGGGUUAAUUAUUAUCAUUAUUGUUAUUGAAUUCUUAUGUUUCUAUUUACUUUUCCUGGGUUUGUGCUUUGUUUCCUUUGAGAACAGGAACUAUAAUGGUAUUUGUAUUUCUAUAAAUUGUAUUUUCCUCACAGCUCAAAGCACAAAGACUUGUAUAAAAUUGACCCUCAAAAUGGUUUAAAAAUUGAUUUCAAAGUCAAGAAAAUUAUAAUUUGCAGAAAAGCCCUAGUCCUUUAUUGAGAAUUUGCACAUUUAAAAGGAGCAAUAACUUAAAGAUCUUUCAUUUUGGUGCUUUUCAAAAUACACACUUAACUCCCUCUAAAAGAUAGUCAGAAGUCACCAUGAGAGCUAAAAGGUAGAGAUGAAUGCUAAGGGAGUAAGAUCUAGGUUUAGUUCUCAAUUUAAUGCUUAAGCCAGUGUAUAUUUUAUGUCUAGGUACUGAAAGAUUUCAUUAGAUUUUUUUUAAUAUUAGAAGCAGAAUGCUAUGGGAAACUUUGCAGUUAAAGAUCUUGCUCUAGAAAAAACUGACCAAUCAUUUAUUUUCCUCCCUUUGCAUGGACAAGCCUAAUUAAGAAUAAUAAAAGGAAAGGACUAGAGUUUCUAUGACUUCAAGAAACGAUUAGCUUAUAACUAUUACAGAAAAAAAAGUUUUAAAUCCACACAAAUGAGAAUAUAGGAAGCACAAUUAACUAUAAGGAUUAAAAUUUGGUAGCAUCUCACCAAAAUCAGUGUAAAGAACAUUGGAUAGGGAAUCAAGAAAACUGGAUUCUCAUCCCAACUCUGACACUUACUCUGUAAGCUUAGGCAAGUCAACUUAUGCCUUAUUUACUGUUUCUUUAUGAGCAAAAAUAAGAUAACAAUAUUUGCCUUAUAAUAUUUGCCUAGGAAUAAAUGAAGAUAAAAUGAAA